Molecule: long non-coding RNA, 1005 nt
Filed under: Vulpes vulpes (red fox)
Lineage: Eukaryota; Metazoa; Chordata; Mammalia; Carnivora; Canidae
Description: lncRNA (ENSVVUG00000028882.1)
Source: RNAcentral
GAUACCUGUGGGUCUCUUCGAAACUAUUACCAGCAUUUUCUCGAGCUGCUUCUCUUCGUUCGGCUCCCGAGGGCCAGUGCGGUCGCAUUAUUGGCGAGAGGAACCCUUCCAAGCUCCGAGUCCGCCGGCUUUUGGGCCCCCGCCGCCAGCGCGGUGGAGGAGGCACGUUUUCCUCGGCUCUCCCAGCCUGUCACAAAGCCAAGUCCUUGGUCUUCUCUUCUCUCUGGACGUCCUCGCCCUUGGCAGCUUCCCUGGGCGCCCGUGCCCGAAGUCCCCUGCAUCUCCAUCUCCAGCCUUGGGGGCGGCCCGUGCGGGGCCUGUGCCGGGCCUGUCCCCUCCUGUCGGUGGACGCAGCUUUCCACGCCGAAGCCUGGCCUCGCCCCAGAGGCUAAAAGGGAGCUCGCCACCGUCCGCUUAAACACCGUCCCUACUCCUGGCGACUCGAUCUUGAAAAUAUAUGCAUUCUUCAGUCAGUCACAUUCCAUAUUUGGGACUCUUCUUCACCAUUUUUCUACUUCCUGUGCCGUUAGAAGACACCUUCCGUCCAUUCUGUGUGUAGCGGUGGUCAUAUUUUGUUUUGUUUUGUUUUGUUUUGUUUCUUUUCAGCUGUCAUCUGUGGUUCACACCCUUACGCCCUAUGGCUUAUCAUCUCGGGUUCUUAACCCACUUGCCUGGUCCCAGGCUGCCCUCUCCUCACCUCCUUCCUGUCAGUUUAAUCUUUCAGAACUGGGAGACAGUGUUUGUGGCAUUCCUCAGCCGAGGCCCUGUUGCUCCGCGUUGCUCCCGGCAGGGGGCCGAAGCUGCCUCCUGAUGGGCCCCACGGAGUCCGGCUCCUGGGCUCUCCCGGUUGCGGGUGCGCGUGUUCACGGGCUCUGCCUUGGAAUAAUUCCCCUUGCAUCUUUCCCUAAAGACCUGCAGGGCUUUGGGAGUGGAUCGGGAGGGAGGGUGAGUGAGGGCAUAGCUCCUGUGACAGCUGGGGAGCCCGACCCACAAGUUUGCAUUUAA